AGAUUCAGUUCAGGGCUUUGAAGGCUAUGGAGGCCUUAGUCCUGGCUUCUCAUAUUGAUCCCCGUUAGUCCCCACUCUGCUUCCAUCCAGCCCUGGAGAGAACAGGACAGGCUGGUUCCUACCUGUGCUGUUUCCUUGGAAGAUGCUGACGGUCACUUUCUGUGGAGCAUCUGGGGUGGAAAGAGGUGGCAGCCUCAACAUCCCUGAAGAGGAAUGGGACCUGGGGGUCCUGGCCCAGCACUCACAGGAGACAUUGAGCUGGAUGGUUCUCUCCACGGUCACACCGACUCCAGGGAACGUCACCUGACAGCACCAGAGAGGAAACACAGCUGCUCAGACUGUGGAGGAACUGGAUGAGGAGGCAUCUGGAAACCGAGUCUGGAGUCUGUGUUGGGAGAAAUGGAGGCAGGAGGUGAGGAGGGCUCAGUGCUCAGCGAGGAGGCGAGGCCCCAGACAUGACCAGGGCCAAGAUGGAGAAAAAGGCCCCAGGAUGAACCCUGCUUAGAAGGAGGGACAAGAGUUAGUGAUUUGUGGGAUCUGGAGGAGGGAGGGCGGUCAAGGUGAAGACUCAUGUCCUGGUUCUGACUUUAGAGAUGUGGGCCACUAUGUCAUCAGCAGGAUGGGGAUCCCAGGAGAAGUGGGUUGGGGAAGAAGAUGGGCAGCUCAACUUAAGCCAUGCUGAGUAGAGCAAUCCUGGAGGCCAUUGAGGGGGAGGUAUCCAGCGGGAUGUUGAGGAUGAGAUGCCCACGACACCUGAGAGAUUAGCCUGUGACAGUGUCUUUAGCCUCCGUGCCUGCUGCUGUCCUUUCCUCCUGCAGAAACUGACACUGAGUGGAAAGACAAAGGCCUGCCAGUGUGGCCGGAUCGGGCUGCAGAGGGCAGCAGACUCACCUCCCCAUGCCCUGCUAAGGGGCAGGAGGGGACUGGGGUGGAGAGAGCAGGCCUAGCCCCCAGAACCUCCCUAAUGAGAGCAGGAACCCCCCCAGCCCAGACAUUCGGUGAAAGCUGAGGACAGACAACAAUUGGACCACGUGGAAUUCUCACCACAACUCAGCCUACUGCCUGGCCCUCUCGAGCCUUCAGGUCCCUCCAGCACUGGGACCUGGGAUUCAGCGUUGUGUCCCCUGUACUCCCCACAUCUCUUCUUGGUCCCUGGGGCAGCGCUCACCUGCGGAAGAGGAGGCAAAGGCAGAUAGCCAGGAUCUUCACAGCUGACUCCCCAGCAGCCACCAGGACCACCUGCAUCACAGAAGAACUUCAAUCAGGACUAUUGGGGAGGAUAAGAAGAUAAAGGAGGAGGAGUAUUCAGGAGGUGGGGACUCAAAGCCUGGAUCUGCUAUGUGAAUGGAACCCAGGCAUCUUGGCCCCAGCACUCACAGAAGACACUGAGCUGGAUGGUUCUCUCUGUGGUCACACCAACUCCAGGGAACUUCACCAGCCAGAGUCCCCAUGGGCUGGGCACCAUAUCUUAUGCCUACAAUCUCAGCACUUUGGGAGGCCGAGGCGGGCGGAUCAUGAGGUCAAGAGAUUGAGACUAUCCUGGCCAACAUGGUGAAACCUCGUCUGUACUAAAAAUACAAAAAUUAGCUGGGC
Molecule: long non-coding RNA, 1593 nt
Organism: Piliocolobus tephrosceles (Ugandan red Colobus)
Lineage: Eukaryota; Metazoa; Chordata; Mammalia; Primates; Cercopithecidae
Exons: 6
Source: RefSeq, a predicted model, not a curated record